CCUACGGGGUGCAGCAGUGAGGAAUAUUGGUCAAUGGACGCAAGUCUGAACCAGCCAUGCCGCGUGCAGGAAGACGGCUCUAUGAGUUGUAAACUGCUUUUGUACGAGGGUAAACGCAGAUACGCGUAUCUUUCUGCAAGUAUCGUACGAAUAAGGAUCGGCUAACUCCGUGCCAGCAGCCGCGGUAAUACGGAGGAUUCAAGCGUUAUCCGGAUUUAUUGGGUUUAAAGGGUGCGUACGCGGUUGGAUAAGUUAGAGGUGAAAUCCCGAGGCUCAACUUCGGAAUUGCCGCUGAUACUGUUCGGCUAGAGAGUAGUUGCGGUAGGCGGAAUGUAUGGUGUAGCGGUGAAAUGCUUAGAGAUCAUACAGAACCCCGAUUGCGAAGGCAGCUUACCAAGCUACGUCUGACGUUGAGGCACGAAAGCGUGGGGAGCAAACAGGAUUAGAUACCCCAGUAGUC
Molecule: ribosomal RNA, 460 nt
Filed under: uncultured bacterium
Lineage: Bacteria
Description: partial 16S ribosomal RNA
Rfam family: Bacterial small subunit ribosomal RNA
Source: RNAcentral